This 535-nucleotide ribosomal RNA is filed under the name Gilvossius tyrrhenus. RNAcentral's name for it is "partial 16S ribosomal RNA". It matches the Rfam family "Bacterial large subunit ribosomal RNA", at positions 1819 to 2625 of the family's 2925-position model. The record is from RNAcentral. Lineage: Eukaryota; Metazoa; Arthropoda; Malacostraca; Decapoda; Callianassidae.
GUCUGUUCGUUAUAAAGAACAGUCUGGCCUGCCCACUGAUUAUAUUUUAAAGGCCGCGGUAUACUGACCGUGCGAAGGUAGCAUAAUAAUUAGUCUUUUAAUUGAAGACUGGAAUGAACGGUCGGACAAAGAGAAAACUGUCUCAUAUUUAAAAAUUGAAAUUAACUUUUAAGUGAAAAGGCUUAAAUAAUCUUAAAGGACGACAAGACCCUAUAAAACUUUAUAUAACUAACUAACCUAUAAUUUAUAAGUUUAACAAAGGUAAGAAAAAGUUGUAUUUCGUUGGGGCGACGAAAGUAUAUGAGUAACUGCUUUUAUAUUAAAACAAUAGUAUUUGAAAUAAAUGACCCUUAAUAGAGAUCUAAAGAAAAAGUUACUUUAGGGAUAACAGCGUUAUUUUUUUUGAGAGUCCUUAUCGACAGAAAAGUUUGCGACCUCGAUGUUGAAUUAAAGUCCCAUUAUAGUGCAGCAAUUAUAAAGGUAGGUCUGUUCGACCUUUAAAACUUUACAUGAUUUGAGUUCAAACCGGCGUAAG